RNAcentral lists this ribosomal RNA (2714 nucleotides) under Escherichia coli DEC14A. RNAcentral's name for it is "bacterial LSU rRNA". It matches the Rfam family "Bacterial large subunit ribosomal RNA". Lineage: Bacteria; Pseudomonadati; Pseudomonadota; Gammaproteobacteria; Enterobacterales; Enterobacteriaceae. The record is from RNAcentral.
GGAACUGAAACAUCUAAGUACCCCGAGGAAAGAAAUCAACCGAGAUUCCCCAGUAGCGGCGAGCGAACGGGGAGCAGCCCAGAGCCUGAAUCAGUGUGUGUGUUAGUGGAAGCGUCUGGAAAGGCGCGCGAUACAGGGUGACAGCCCCGUACACAAAAAUGCACAUGCUGUGAGCUCGAUGAGUAGGGCGGGACACGUGGUAUCCUGUCUGAAUAUGGGGGGACCAUCCUCCAAGGCUAAAUACUCCUGACUGACCGAUAGUGAACCAGUACCGUGAGGGAAAGGCGAAAAGAACCCCGGCGAGGGGAGUGAAAAAGAACCUGAAACCGUGUACGUACAAGCAGUGGGAGCACAGAGCAAUCUGUGUGACUGCGUACCUUUUGUAUAAUGGGUCAGCGACUUAUAUUCUGUAGCAAGGUUAACCGAAUAGGGGAGCCGAAGGGAAACCGAGUCUUAACUGGGCGUUAAGUUGCAGGGUAUAGACCCGAAACCCGGUGAUCUAGCCAUGGGCAGGUUGAAGGUUGGGUAACACUAACUGGAGGACCGAACCGACUAAUGUUGAAAAAUUAGCGGAUGACUUGUGGCUGGGGUGAAAGGCCAAUCAAACCGGGAGAUAGCUGGUUCUCCCGAAAGCUAUUUAGGUAGCGCCUCGUGAAUUCAUCUCCGGGGGUAGAGCACUGUUUCGGCAAGGGGGUCAUCCCGACUUACCAACCCGAUGCAAACUGCGAAUACCGGAGAAUGUUAUCACGGGAGACACACGGCGGGUGCUAACGUCCGUCGUGAAGAGGGAAACAGCCCAGACCGCCAGCUAAGGUCCCAAAGUCAUGGUUAAGUGGGAAACGAUGUGGGAAGGCCCAGACAGCCAGGAUGUUGGCUUAGAAGCAGCCAUCAUUUAAAGAAAGCGUAAUAGCUCACUGGUCGAGUCGGCCUGCGCGGAAGAUGUAACGGGGCUAAACCAUGCACCGAAGCUGCGGCAGCGACGCUGAUGCGUUGUUGGGUAGGGGAGCGUUCUGUAAGCCUGCGAAGGUGUGCUGUGAGGCAUGCUGGAGGUAUCAGAAGUGCGAAUGCUGACAUAAGUAACGAUAAAGCGAGUGAAAAGCCCGCUCGCCGGAAGACCAAGGGUUCUUGUCCAACGUUAAUCGGGGCAGGGUGAGUCGACCCCUAAGGCGAGGCCGAAAGGCGUAGUCGAUGGGAAACAGGUUAAUAUUCCUGUACUUGGUGUUACUGCGAAGGGGGGACGGAGAAGGCUAUGUUGGCCGGGCGACGGUUGUCCCGGUUUAAGCGUGUAGGCUGGUUUUCCAGGCAAAUCCGGAAAAUCGAGGCUGAGGCGUGAUGACGAGGCACUACGGUGCUGAAGCAACAAAUGCCCUGCUUCCAGGAAAAGCCUCUAAGCAUCAGGUAACAUCAAAUCGUACCCCAAACCGACACAGGUGGUCAGGUAGAGAAUACCAAGGCGCUUGAGAGAACUCGGGUGAAGGAACUAGGCAAAAUGGUGCCGUAACUUCGGGAGAAGGCACGCUGAUAUGUAGGUGAAGUCCCUCGCGGAUGGAGCUGAAAUCAGUCGAAGAUACCAGCUGGCUGCAACUGUUUAUUAAAAACACAGCACUGUGCAAACACGAAAGUGGACGUAUACGGUGUGACGCCUGCCCGGUGCCGGAAGGUUAAUUGAUGGGGUUAGCGCAAGCGAAGCUCUUGAUCGAAGCCCCGGUAAACGGCGGCCGUAACUAUAACGGUCCUAAGGUAGCGAAAUUCCUUGUCGGGUAAGUUCCGACCUGCACGAAUGGCGUAAUGAUGGCCAGGCUGUCUCCACCCGAGACUCAGUGAAAUUGAACUCGCUGUGAAGAUGCAGUGUACCCGCGGCAAGACGGAAAGACCCCGUGAACCUUUACUAUAGCUUGACACUGAACAUUGAGCCUUGAUGUGUAGGAUAGGUGGGAGGCUUUGAAGUGUGGACGCCAGUCUGCAUGGAGCCGACCUUGAAAUACCACCCUUUAAUGUUUGAUGUUCUAACGUGGACCCGUAAUCCGGGUUGCGGACAGUGUCUGGUGGGUAGUUUGACUGGGGCGGUCUCCUCCUAAAGAGUAACGGAGGAGCACGAAGGUUGGCUAAUCCUGGUCGGACAUCAGGAGGUUAGUGCAAUGGCAUAAGCCAGCUUGACUGCGAGCGUGACGGCGCGAGCAGGUGCGAAAGCAGGUCAUAGUGAUCCGGUGGUUCUGAAUGGAAGGCCAUCGCUCAACGGAUAAAAGGUACUCCGGGGAUAACAGGCUGAUACCGCCCAAGAGUUCAUAUCGACGGCGGUGUUUGGCACCUCGAUGUCGGCUCAUCACAUCCUGGGGCUGAAGUAGGUCCCAAGGGUAUGGCUGUUCGCCAUUUAAAGUGGUACGCGAGCUGGGUUUAGAACGUCGUGAGACAGUUCGGUCCCUAUCUGCCGUGGGCGCUGGAGAACUGAGGGGGGCUGCUCCUAGUACGAGAGGACCGGAGUGGACGCAUCACUGGUGUUCGGGUUGUCAUGCCAAUGGCACUGCCCGGUAGCUAAAUGCGGAAGAGAUAAGUGCUGAAAGCAUCUAAGCACGAAACUUGCCCCGAGAUGAGUUCUCCCUGACUCCUUGAGAGUCCUGAAGGAACGUUGAAGACGACGACGUUGAUAGGCCGGGUGUGUAAGCGCAGCGAUGCGUUGAGCUAACCGGUACUAAUGAACCGUGAGGCUUAACCUU